AUGGCACAAUCAAGCCAGAAAAAUUAAGUGUGAGGGAGGCUAUAGAACGGCCUAAUGGUAGAAGGAUCAUGCUCAAGUUCAACAACGAAAUGCAACCAAUUAAAGAUGAAGCUGGACUGUUGAGUGACGUUCUUGGUCUGGUAGGAGCUGACUAUGGAAAAUUUCCUAUUUAUGAGAAAAGUUGGCAUAAGAUUACCACUAAAGACAAGGUGUAUAAUGAAUGUGUAAAGCAAAUUUUCUACUUUGAUGAAGAUAGUAAAUGAACUAUCAACAAAAAUAUUUUGAAAAGUAUGGAAAAGUCCUAAAAGGAUACAAGGCUGAGAUUGUAUGAUGAUUAUUACAACCCAACAUCAACGACUGAACAAAAUAUUGAGAACCGCCUGCCAAGAAUUGAUCGAGAGCAUUGGAGAUGGUUCCUUGACUAUCGCAGUAAACUUGAGAUGCAGACCACAAUAGGAGAAGUGUAGGAAAAACACGAUGAAUCGAUCAAAACAACUAUAUACCCACACUGGCAGUUCGAAAAGCUUGGCAAGGCAGAGGGAAGAAGAGGUACUUUACUUUUUUAUUCACUCUUUGGACUAUCUAUGUGUCUACAUUCUCCUUAAUUAUGUGGAAUACGGUAAUGGCAUAAACUUUGUUGUUACAGUCGGAACAAUAAGGGAGGAGAGUCGGUAGAGGAGAGUUAUGGAUCACAGUGCACCAAAAAAAAGAUUCCUAUAUCAAUGAUGAAGCAAGAGCAAUUGGUAUUUUUGUCUGUAGGAAAGACUUGAGGAGAUUGAGCAACAGGACGAGUUUCUAGAGUGUUGUCUCAAAAUGAUUCUUUUGCUCAAAUUCUCGGAAAAGAGAAACUAGGUAGAGUGCGUGGUGUGGGUUUCAGACCGACUCUUAGACAACUCUUCUGUUUGAAUUCGCAUCCGUCAGGCAACGGAGUUCAAGUAGAGGAGACCCAGAGGAAGUUGCUUGAACUAUAGGCAGAGUUGGAAGCUGAGAAAUUGAAAAGGAAUGCGAUGGAGGAUGAAGUAGCAGCAGAGAAGAAAAAGUGGCAGGCGAUAGAGAGUGCUCCGAGAUAUCUAUUUCAACGGCAGGGUGAGGAGCUGCCACCAGAUAUUGUCAAAAAUAGUAUAUUAGGAUUGAAAUUAUUUUGGUUU
Arachis ipaensis is the source of this 1148-nucleotide non-coding RNA. The record is from RefSeq and is a predicted model, not a curated record. NCBI's taxonomy places the organism in Eukaryota, Viridiplantae, Streptophyta, Magnoliopsida, Fabales, Fabaceae.